AGAGUUUGAUCCUGGCUCAGAGCGAACGCUGGCGGCAGGCCUAACACAUGCAAGUCGAGCGCCGUAGCAAUACGGAGCGGCAGACGGGAGAGUAACACGUGGGAACAUACCCUCCGGUUCGGAAUAGCUCAGGGAAACUUGGAUUAAUACCGGAUACGGCUGAGAGGCGAAAGAUUUAUCGCCGGAGGAUUGGCCCGCGU
This 200-nucleotide ribosomal RNA is filed under the name uncultured bacterium. RNAcentral describes it as "partial 16S ribosomal RNA". It matches the Rfam family "Bacterial small subunit ribosomal RNA", at positions 8 to 236 of the family's 1533-position model. The record is from RNAcentral.